UACGAAGGGAGCUAGCGUUGUUCGGAAUCACUGGGCGUAAAGCGCACGUAGGCGGAUGUGUCAGUCAGGGGUGAAAUCCCGGAGCUCAACUUCGGAACUGCCUUUGAUACAGCACGUCUUGAGUCCGAUAGAGGUGGGUGGAAUUCCUAGUGUAGAGGUGAAAUUCGUAGAUAUUAGGAAGAACACCGGUGGCGCAGGCGGCCCACUGGUCCGGUACUGACGCUGAGGUGCGAAAGCGUGGGGAGCGAACCGG
RNAcentral lists this ribosomal RNA (253 nucleotides) under uncultured bacterium. Its description in RNAcentral is "partial 16S ribosomal RNA". It matches the Rfam family "Bacterial small subunit ribosomal RNA", at positions 524 to 776 of the family's 1533-position model. The record is from RNAcentral.